CCUACGGGAGGCUGCAGUGAGGAAUAUUGGUCAAUGGGCGAAAGCCUGACGCAGCGACGCCGCGUGAGGGAUGAAGGUCUUCGGAUCGUAAACCUCUGUCAGCAGGGAAGAACGGUCACUGUGCUAAUCAGCAGUGAAUUGACGGGACCUGCAAAGGAAGCACCGGAUAACUCCGUGCCAGCAGCCGCGGUAAGACGGAGGGUGCGAGCGUUAAUCGGAAGUACUGGGCGUAAAGCGCUCGUAGGCGGUAUGUCAAGUCAAGGGUGAAAUCCCCGCGCUCAACGUGGGAACCGCCGUUGAAACUGGCAAACUGGAGUGUGUGAGAGGAUCGUGGAAUUCCAGGUGUAGGAGUGAAAUCCGUAGAUAUCUGGAGGAACUUCAGUGGCGAAGGCGACUAUCUGGCACAUAACUGACGCUGAGGAGCGAAAGCGUGGGUAGCAAACAGGAUUAGAUACCCGGGUAGUC
RNAcentral lists this ribosomal RNA (465 nucleotides) under uncultured bacterium. RNAcentral describes it as "partial 16S ribosomal RNA". It matches the Rfam family "Bacterial small subunit ribosomal RNA", at positions 338 to 795 of the family's 1533-position model. The record is from RNAcentral.